CAAUGCAAUUUGUUUGUGUUUAGUUAGGUGGCUAAAGAUAAACUAAUUUGCUAUACUCAUGUUUGGUACGAUGCACACUAUAAUAAAAAUGACCCUAUAUUUCUACCGCCCAUCAUCUCCCCCCUUCUCUCCUCUCCCGCAAUCCGUGUCGCUCGCCGCCGUUGGCUCCGAUUUGCACCGCUGCAGCACCAGCAGCCAUGCGCGAUGAGCACCGCAUGCUCUCGUCCUCCUCCUCGAACUCGUCGUCGUCCACGGCAGGUGGGAGGUGAGGAACGAGGCAGGUUGACCACGGCAGCGAAUAAGCACCAUACGAGGCGGCAAGCAGCUUCCUUUCCUCCGGCGAUGGCGACGCAGGAUCCGAAAGAUGCUGCUCCGACAGAGGAGGCCCCCGUCGCGGCCGGGCCGGCGGCGCCAACGGCGAGGGUGAAGGUGCUCUUCUUCGCCCGCGCGCGGGACCGGACGGGCGUGUCGUAGUCGUUGGUGGAGGUGCCGGCGGGAGGCACCGCGGGGGAGUGCCUCGCCUGGACCGCGGCGGCAACCACCCGGUGGGGUGAGAAAAGAAAGCACGGAGGCAAAGGAGAGGUGAAGCGACUCACCCAAAAAACCACCGACAGCUUAAGGGUGUGUUUGGUUUUGGAACGACGUGGGUCGGGUCGGAGCCGACCCACUUUUGUGGGUUGGAGCCAACCCAGCUCGUGUUUGGAUGAGUGGGUUGGAGCCGACCCAGUUUUUUGUUUGGUUGAAAAAGUUGAGAGGGU
Long non-coding RNA from Setaria italica (foxtail millet), 758 nucleotides. RefSeq lists it as uncharacterized. The record is from RefSeq and is a predicted model, not a curated record. The transcript is spliced from 2 exons. NCBI's taxonomy places the organism in Eukaryota, Viridiplantae, Streptophyta, Magnoliopsida, Poales, Poaceae.